UUGUUUUACCACUCUCUAACUGAAAGUUACAAAUCGAGAAACCAAUCUAAACUGUAUGUAUACAUGUAGAGAUGUACAGCUGGUACAACUGAAAGAAAGAAAAUAAAACAUAAUUAAGCGUGUUCAGGAAUAUUGAAGGUUGAUUUGUUCUGGAGUAAGAAGCAAGAUGGUGAAAGAUAAAAGGAGUGAAAAUGACAAACACAGCUGUCAACCUCAGGAUAGAAGAUACAACUUCGGUUAUGGCGAAAAUUCGUCGGGUGUUCACCACAACUUACCUCAUACUACUUCCACUCCAUCAUGGACAACUGCCUCACACAACCAGUCACAGCUACAGAGGCAGACACAAGCCUGGGGUUCUGUGUUCAAGAACAGAGCACACUUUGUAGAAAUGCAUUUGGUUUAACAAACUUGAUUGAUAGCUAGUCUGUAAAUGGAUAUAAUUAUGUGUAUAAAUGAAAUACAGUGUUGUUGUACUAUUGGUAUGUGAUAUUUUAUACUUAGCUAUUUGCCGUUAUUUCUAUAAUCUGAAUUGAUUUGAUUAACGUAUGGGUAUGUGUUCAUGCAUUUAUAUUUAUAUGUUAAGUCUGAAAAUUUAGAUUCCUAUUGAUAUAUAUGUUCAUACAUUGUUUGUACAAGUUUGUUUUAUUUUAUUAUAUUAUCCUCUCUGUGAGAGUUGCUUUUUGUUUGUGCUAGGAAUACAGAUUUGUGCUACAGUACUUCAGUAAUAGUUUCUGACAUUCCUUUCUUAACCUUUAGCCUGCUAGCGGCAAGUUAUUCUGCCUUUGCGACAUCCGUGCAGUCUGAUCAUGGUCUGCACUGUUCGCUAUUCAGUCAGUAAAUUUUCAGUGAAAACCCCUUUGAAUAAUAAGUGGUACUGUCCAAAUUAAAAGACGGACCAGUCCAUUAUAGAAAUAUAGCAGGGUAAGGGUUAAAGAGGCAUUAUAAUGAAGCAGGAACUUUUUUCUAAAAGAAAUUCUAUGUUUAAUUUUCACUGCGUUAACUAUUUUGGUUUAACUAUAGAUUUGCUUUGUUGAUACUGCAUAGUUCUGGUAAGCAUUUUUUUCUCGAUUUGCAUAAAACUAAAUAUUUCUUAAUUUGUACAGUUUUGUUUUCAGCAAUUCAUAUUAAUUAAUUAGGCAUGUGGUCUUGCUGUCCUUUUCGAAUGCAAGCAAUGAAGCAGAUAUAUUUUCAUUUUGGUAGGAUAUUGUAUAUUUCAGAUGUAUUUGAAAUCGACUGAAUAUUUUUAUAAUAGUCAUUUACUUUAUGAAAUGUCCUCCUCUUUCCAUACUGGUAUCUAAUAAGCCAUAAUCAAAAGUGCAAUAAACAUUGAGUCAGUACAUUUUUGAUUUUUGCAUAUUUUUUAUGCAAGUUAAAUUCAGGUGAACCAUUUUCAGUUGUGCAUAGUUACUGUUUAUUUCUCUUUUUGUAAUGAAUUCAACUUUAUUGCAUUUGAUUAUAUAAGUAUUUUUCCGGUGAUUUUUUUCCUUUGAUGUUGUGUUCAUAGAUUUGGGUUGUAAAUUAACAGAUAUAGUCUUCAUUGCAUUAUAUCCACUGUCAGUUUUUACUAUCACUUUUUUGCCAGUUAGUUAAAAUACAUAUGAAUGUGUUUAAAGGUCUAUUGUUCAAUAAAAUGUUUUAAGUGUCAUGCAGUGAUAGCCAGUUGUUAAAAAAAACUUUCAGCUUCUGUUGGUCAUUUAUACUGUAUUUAAUUAUAAAUGUAUUAUGUAUGUAUUAUUUUAAACCUUUAAAUGCAUGGUAAUGUAAACCUAUAGAUAUAAAUUUCAUGUUUUCAUAAACUAUAAUUAUACAGAAAUUGUUCGUAUUUUCAUAUAUGAAAUUUGGGUGUAGAAUCUAGUAUACCUUUAAGCUUAUAACGAUUAAUUAUGAAUCAUUAAUGUAUAUAAAACUCUGCAAAAAUCUGGUUCACUGGAAGCCUUUCUGGGGCACUUACAUUUAAGAUGUUUAUGUCUAUUUCACAUACUGAAGGUCAGGCCCGGUGUUUGAAUUUUUAAUAUCAAUUUUACAAAAACCUCAAGGUUAAAUUCCAACGGAGACUAACCAUCAAUACUGAAUAGCCACUUGAAAAUAGUUAUUAACUUAAAAUUUAGUGUUAAACAUGCUAUUUAGAUAUAAAUGACAAAUAAAGUUUCAUUAUCAAACUUAGCUGAGACUGAAAAUGUUUUGUGAACAGGGGGCCAAGUGCAUUUCAGCUAAAAACAUGUAUAAAGCAAUUAGUUUUAAUCUAUACAUGAUAGUGUAAUAUAGAUGUCGAUAUUAACUUUUAUGAUGACAUUUCAAAAAUCACUUAGCAGGACAUGCUAGUUGUCAAAAAUUACUCACUAAUUUUCGCUUGUAUGCAUGUACCAAGUUAUCACCUAAUAUUUCACCAUUCAGUGUUAUACCUAUCUUACUAAAUUUUGUUAAAUGAAAAAAGCACCUUCCAUAUACUAGACUUCAUUCAUUCAAGAAAAAAAAUGAUAUGUAAUAUUAUAUUGUUUGAUUCAGUUUUCCAAAGAAAUGUUUUGGAAUUAAGUCAUUCAGAUGUAGUAUGGUAGAAAUUUGAAAAAGCUUUUCUUACAGGAGUGUAGAAAAAUAAUAUAGCUUUUACCUUUAGAACAUAAUCGAGCCACGCCAUGAGAAAACCAACAUAGUGGCUUUGCGACCAGCAUGGAUCCAGACCAGCCUGCGCAUCCACGCAGUCUGGUCAGGAUCCAUGCUGUUCACUAACGGUUUUUCUAAUUGCAAUAGGCUUUGAAAGUGAACAGCAUGGAUCCUGACCAGACUGCACAGAUGGAUCCUGACCAGCCUGUGCAGAUGCAAAGACUGGUCUGGAUCCAUGCUGGUCGCAAAGCCACUCUGUUGGUUUUCUCAUGGCGCGGCUCAUAUUAAUUAGCCUUUAAAAGUUUGAAAAAAAAAAACAUGCAAUUCUAAUGAUUCAAGUAUCAUGUCUGUAUAUCAAGGUGGUUCAUCAGAUUUUGUUCAAGUAUUAAAUGUAUUUGUUGAAAACUUUAAACAUCUGAUCAUUAUGUUUUCAACACAAAAAUUACGAUUUACACCCAAUUUCACGAAAAUGAUCAUUGCCAAGUGAUGUGAUCCAUUUUUUCAGAAUGUUUUGGUUCAGUGAUUUUCAAUGCAGUUAUGACAUUUUAUGAUGUUUUGACCAUUUCUGGUAUAUUAGUGGGUGGAUUUCCACCAAAACUUACAGGAGUGAUCGUUGCAAAGCCUAAUUCUGCAUAUAUUUGUCAUGUUCUGGUUCAGUGGUUUUUAUUGGAGUUAUGGCCCUUGAUUUGUUGUAGUUUACCUUGUCUGUGCAACUGCUCAGAUAACAGUAGGUGGAAUAACACCAAACUUCAUCAAAGUAUUCAUUGCCAGGCUUAGUUGUGCAUAUCAUUGGCAUUCUGUUUCAGUGAUUUUCAGUGGGGAUAUGGCCAUUUAUUUGUCAGAUUUUAUUAUAUUAUAGCUACUCUUACACCAUUAGGCAGACUCCCAACAAACCUUACUGCAGUUAUCAGUGGCAAGCCUAGUAACUGUUAUGCAUAUCAUAGGCAUGUCCUAGUGUAGUGAUUUUCAGGGGAGUAAUGGCCCUUAAUUAUGUCGUAGUUUACAGUGUUUACACUGCAUGCCAAAUACCAUUUUGGGUGAAUUUCACUAUACCUCACAAGUCAUCAUUGGGAAGCAUAGUUGUGCAGAUCAUCGGCAUGCUCUGGUUUAAUAAAAUACAGCAGAGUAAUGACCCUUGAUUUGUCAAAUUCUAUGUUAUCUGUGCUGAUUUUCUUUAUAUACCACUGAUUAAAAUUAACCCAACUUCACAUAAGUGAUCAGUGUCAAACCUAGUUGUAUAUAUCAUUGGAAUCUUAUGGUUUAAUGAUUUUCACUAGAGUUAUGGCCCUUUAUUUGCCGCAUUUAAUAAUGUCUGUCUUAAGUUGUGCGAGAUAUGUUUCCAUGGAAACAAUCUGGAGUUUACAUUAUUUAAGUUCAUAAAGUGCUUAAUUUUAGGUUUUCAUGAGAGGUAUUUUUGAAAUAUGCUUUUUCCUGCCCUGGUUUCCCAAUGUGGUAAACAUAUUUUGCUAAAUCUUGUUAGAUUAAGGUUAUUGUGUAUGAAGUUACGUUGUUUUCAUUGAAACAUACACAUUUUUGUGACACCGGUGACAUUACUUCUAGAUCAGCCCUCGAUUUUAUAAUGACAUUACUAAUAUAUCCAAAAGUCAUUGAAAUUUGUCUAGUAUUUUUUAGCUCACCUGAGCACAAAGUGCUCACGGUGAGCUAUUGUGAUCACGCUGUGUCCGGCCGUCAGGUUCGCCUGUCCGUCAUCAACAGUUGUGUUUAAACAUCUCCUCCAAAACCACUGAAAUGAUUUUAGUGAAACUUUGGUUGGAUGUUCCUUGCAUGAUCUCCUACCAAAAUUGUUCAAACGGUUCUGUUUGGUUGCACAUAAGGGCCGCCAGAGCUAAAAAAUAGAAAAAUCUUCAAACAACAUAUCCACCUACCGAUGGUCUGAUUUUGAAAUAAUUUCAUACAAAUGGUCCUUACGCCACCCUCUACCAAGUUUGUUGAAACUAUACCGAUUCCUUAAAAAACAUGGCCGCCAGGGGGCGUGGUCACUUUUCGCUAUAUGUUUAUAGUGGAAAUUAAAAAAAUCGUCUUCUGUGAAACUGCUGGCCCCAAUUUUAAAAUAAUUUUAUGCAAAUGGUCCUUGUGUGACCCUCUACCAAUUUUAUUCAAAUUAUUUUGAUUCGUCAAAAAACAUGGUCACCAGAGGGUGGGGUCACUUUUCCCUAUAUGUAUAAAGUGGAAACUUUGAAAAUCUUCUUAUGUGAAACUGCUAGGCUGAUUUUAAAAUAAUUUUACACUAAUGGUCCUUGUGUGACCCAUUACCAAGAUUGUCCAAAUUAUUCGGAUUCGUCAAAAAACAUGGCCGCAAGGGGGCAUGGUCACUUUUCCCUAGUGUAUAUAGUAGAAACUUAGAAAAUCUUCUUGUAUAAAAUUAACCCAAUUUUAAAAUAAUUUCACACAAAUUGUCUUUGUGUGACCUUCUACAAAUAUUGUUGUUUUUUUCUGAUUUGUCAAAAAACAUGGCCCCCAGAGAGCGUGGUUACUUUUCAUCAACAAUUUCUUUAAACAACAUUUCCGAAAUCACUGAAUAGAUUUUGAUGAAACUUUACACAAAUGAUCUCUGGGUAGCCCUCUUUCAAAAUUGUUCAAAUGGUUCCAGUUCAUUGAAAAUAUGGGUCUUUUUCAGUUAAAUAUAGGUUUUCAGCUGUCACACUUUAAAAAAUCUUUUUCUCUAAAGCGUUGGUAUUUGGCAUGUGAUAUAAAGGUUUGAUUCUACCAUAACUGUCCAAAUUAUUGCCCCAAGAUAAAAAAUGGCCACGCCCCUGUGUGACAUGUACUUACUACAGGCUUAUAUAUAAGAAACUUUGAAAAUCUUCUCUGAAUCAAUAAUAGCUAGAGCCUUGAUAUUUGGUGUGUGAUAUCAGAGUUGUACUGUCUACCGUAAUUGUUCAAAUUAUUGCCCAAGGUUCAAAAAUGUGUGUGAAAUGUAUAUAUAUAUAGGCUAACAUAGAAGAAACCUAACUCUGUACUUGUACCAUUCCGUUAUACAAACACACUUGAAGCCUUGUACACAGGUGAGCACUUUAGGGUCAAUGACCCUCUUGUUUAAAUAUUGAUUAGAAAUGUUAUAGGUAGCAUUUUUUUUUUCAAAGAAAAGAUGCUACAAUAGCAGGGGUAUCAUGUAAUGAUGAAUAAUCUUUAUGAAUUAUCAUAUUAUUUUGCAAAAAAGAAAGCCUGAUAUACUGGUAGUGUAUUAAAAUGAUGCAAAAUUUC
This is a long non-coding RNA of Mercenaria mercenaria, 5826 nucleotides long. RefSeq lists it as uncharacterized. NCBI's taxonomy places the organism in Eukaryota, Metazoa, Mollusca, Bivalvia, Venerida, Veneridae. The transcript has 3 exons. The record is from RefSeq and is a predicted model, not a curated record.